AGCAGCAUGGCGCAGUGGUAGCGCGCGGGGCCCAUAUCGACGGUGUUGUCUUCCAUCAGUGAUGGUACCCCGAGGUCACUUGAUCGAAACAAGUUGCUGCUA
Marasmius tenuissimus is the source of this 102-nucleotide non-coding RNA. Lineage: Eukaryota; Fungi; Basidiomycota; Agaricomycetes; Agaricales; Marasmiaceae. The record is from the annotation of a GenBank genome assembly.